Molecule: ribosomal RNA, 213 nt
Filed under: uncultured bacterium
Lineage: Bacteria
Description: partial 16S ribosomal RNA
Rfam family: Bacterial small subunit ribosomal RNA
Source: RNAcentral
CAGUUCGGAUUGUAGUCUGCAACUCGACUACAUGAAGCUGGAAUCGCUAGUAAUCGCAGAUCAGAAUGCUGCGGUGAAUACGUUCCCGGGUCUUGUACACACCCGCCCGUCACACCAUGGGAGUCGGAAAUGCCCGAAGCCGGUGACCCAACCAAAAGGAGGGAGCCGUCGAAGGCAGGUCUGAUAACUGGGGUGAAGUCGUAACAAGGUAAC